UUUUGUGCUCUGUCUCUACGGAAUUUUAAACUUUUACUUUAUAUUAAUCGGGGCCUUUGUCGCUGUCACCUUACAAGUUCGCACGGCUGUCAUGAUCAUAUUAUUAAUGGUAGGAAACUAAACAUAGCGAAGGUCGAGUCUGUACGAACAUGAGUUCGUUAAAUUAGUCUGUGUCAGAGUUGUUAGUAUGUUUUGACACAGACAUGUAAGUCAUGGUAGGCUGAAAAAGUGAGGUUAUCAUUGUCUUAAGCACGCAUUUUAACCGCAGAACUAGAUGGAUGUGUGUGGUCAGCUAUGUGCCCCUUGGGAGGGGGGUGGAUAUUCACCGGAUUCGGUCAGUAUGUGGUGACCCGCCUAGGACCACGAUCGUCCGUCCGUAUUUGUAACACGAUGUCACAGUGUUCAUUUCGCCGACAAACACUGCUCCAGCGACCACUUUCAAGUCACUUCCGGUGGUUUUCUGCGUGUGUCCACAUCUGUGACUUUCUAAAUAGAGCACCGUGACUGAUCCUCUCUGCACUUCCUGCCAUGUCACUGCGAGGGGGAGGUACCCACAUCAGCUGCUGAUGCUAGUUUCCUUGUAGCCCGUCUGGGUGCUGCGUGGGGAUCGCGGGAUGGACAACCUCACGAGAAAUAUCCGAUAUUAUCCAUGAUAAUGAAGAAAUGGCUACAGCGUAUAGGCUGUGCAGAAUGAAGACAACGGAAUACCAAUGCUGGCACUGGAAUACAAACCGUUGAGGCGAAGGGCCCCUGGACACCCAAUGGGCAAAUGGAAACACUUGACUACGUGACCGACUGAGUGGGGAGACAGGAGCCAGUAGUUAUGGCUCGGUCUGUGUCAGUGGAGGAACCCUGGUCGAAUCCCGGUCUAAAUGCCAGGUCGUGUCUCUCCAG
Zootermopsis nevadensis is the source of this 894-nucleotide non-coding RNA. Lineage: Eukaryota; Metazoa; Arthropoda; Insecta; Blattodea; Termopsidae. The record is from RefSeq and is a predicted model, not a curated record.